UCAUACUUUACAACUUUGUGGAUCACGUAGCUCUUCUAAAAUAUCAGUUAUUUCAAUUCUGUAGAAACUCAUCGAAAUGAAACUGAUUUAUCUGUUGCUAAUAACUAUGAUAACAAUAUCUUCAGCAAACCCUUAUCCAACGUUGUCAAAUUCGCCAUGUCCAGCAAAGCACGUCGAUUGCUACCGGCCUCCAGUACGAGAGCAACAUGGUGCGCAAAUGAUGAUGUUAGGCCUUUGGCGUGCUGGACCGAAAAAGGGACAACCGUUCUAUACACUGGAAGAAAUGGAGGAAAACCAGCGAUUAUUCAAGGAAAUGGAACACAACGGAAAUGUGAACCUAAUUAGUAACGCGGAGAAAUCUAAUAGUGAUGAAUGAUUUCAAAUGGCCGUAUACACAUAAAAUACAACCUACCGGAACUCACAUGAUGCUGAAUCGUACUCGUCACAUGGUGUGUGUUUUUGAAUAACAAGCAUGCUUCGUCCAACAAUGCUGUACUUCUUAUUUAUUCAAUUGAAUAUGAGCAUAAAAAUAAUAUAGGUAUUGUUCCUCUCAAACCUGCAAUGAAGGGUAAAUAAAACGCAAACAUACA
This is a long non-coding RNA of Armigeres subalbatus, 590 nucleotides long. RefSeq lists it as uncharacterized. The transcript is spliced from 3 exons. NCBI's taxonomy places the organism in Eukaryota, Metazoa, Arthropoda, Insecta, Diptera, Culicidae. The record is from RefSeq and is a predicted model, not a curated record.